Molecule: transfer RNA, 75 nt
Filed under: Ursus arctos (brown bear)
Lineage: Eukaryota; Metazoa; Chordata; Mammalia; Carnivora; Ursidae
Also listed under: 1 other name
Description: tRNA-Leu
Rfam family: tRNA
About the family: Transfer RNA (tRNA) molecules are approximately 80 nucleotides in length.
Source: RNAcentral
GUUAGGGUGGCAGAACCCGGUGAUUGCAUAAAACUUAAACCUUUAUACUCAGAGGUUCAAAUCCUCUCCCUAACA